AGAAUCAACGCUGGCGGCGUGCCUAACACAUGCAAGUCGCACGAGAAAGGGGAGCAAUCCCUGAGUACAGUGGCGCACGGGUGAGUAACACGUGAAUAAUCUACCUCCGAGUGGGGAAUAACUGAGAGAAAUCUUAGCUAAUACCGCAUAAUACCCACGGGUCAAAGCAGCAAUGCGCUUGGAGAGGAGUUCGCGGCAGAUUAGUUAGUUGGCGGGGUAAUGGCCCACCAAGACGAUGAUCUGUAUCCGGCCUGAGAGGGCGCACGGACACACUGGAACUGAAACACGGUCCAGACUCCUACGGGAGGCAGCAGUGGGGAAUUUUGCGCAAUGGGGGAAACCCUGACGCAGCAACGCCGCGUGGAGGAUGAAGCCCCUUGGGGUGUAAACUCCUUUCGAUCGGGAAGAUAAUGACGGUACCGAUAUAAGAAGCCCGGCUAACUUCGUGCCAGCGAGCCGC
This 460-nucleotide ribosomal RNA is filed under the name uncultured bacterium. RNAcentral's name for it is "SSU rRNA". It matches the Rfam family "Bacterial small subunit ribosomal RNA", at positions 26 to 518 of the family's 1533-position model. The record is from RNAcentral.